CCUCUGGGGAGGGGGGGCAGGUGCUGCUGCUGCCGCUGCACCCUCGGGAGGGCCGGGAGCGGCGCGAACGGUGAGGGUCUGUGGGCAGGGAGGCAACGUGCGCAAGGGGAGUUCAGUAACAACAAAAAGGGAAAAUAACACGUGUUAUUUACCUCCCGCGAAUGGCUGUGUUUUGCCUAGGCGCGUGAGCUCUCCCUGAAGGGCUUAGGUAAGCGUCCUUCCACAGUAAGUUUCUCAUUUACUUAGAUCAGGAACAGUACCGCGGAAAUCGGAGCUUAGAGUUAUUUACAACAAAGAAAUUAACCCCGCUGUGCUUUGAGAGUUUUUUUGGUAUGUUUUUCAAAUAGUGUUCCUGUCUCGAUAUUUGCUAUAGAUAGUAUCUCACGUUUUAAUUGUGGCUGAGUGAAAACCAGGUAUUUUUUUACUUACCAGUAUUGUGGGUUUCAUAUUAGAACUGAGUAGGGUUUAUUUAGAGAUGCUUUAUUAAUCAAAAAAUGUGCAUUUUCUUAUUUAGUAGUGAAUUGCAACUGCAUUCUUCCUGCCGAGUGGUUUCAUUCGGGAACAUUUUGGGAGCUGCAGUGCUGCUGGCUCGAUUUGCUUACAGGAAAGAAUCUACUUUUCCUCUGUUCUGGGGACACCCGUCAGAGAACUGGGAGCAGAUGUUUUGCGUUUGGCACAGGAGUCUUGGAGGGUGUCCUAACUGGUUACCAGAUACUUACAUAUUGUAUACUAAACUGGACAUCUGAAACAGUAAAGCUCCAGAGACUUCUCCAUUAACUCACCAGAUGACAUCAUGAAGUUCUAAGACUGAUGUUCAGGGUAUUUUGGGGAUAAGGCGUGAGAGUGGUUGUUGCUCCUUUCUAAAUAAUUGCUUACUCACUACUGGUGUUCUACUUUAGAACAGGAAAGAUUGGUAACAUCAUUUCAUCCCCUUCCUUUGUUUCUAUAUCUUGUACCAUAAUGGGUGGGAUACUUCUACAGAAGAUUACGUCACCUUAUCCUUUGUUGUGCCCAAGAUACCCUCUGGAAAUGCUAUGAGUUAGAAACUUAAUAAAAUCCAUGGAACUAUAAGUCUAAGCAAAAGUAUACAUGCAGAUACUCCUAAAUUUUUUGUUUCAGGAAGGUUAUUGCUCACAAAGAACUGUUCUUGCCAUCUGCCUACUUUCUCCCAGGAUUGUUUGCAAUAAUUCUGUUGCCUCUUUGGAUGGAAUGUGUUUUAUUAUUUCAGCUCCUUUGAGAAAACUUUGUUGUCAGAAUAGAAUGCAUUGCAGUUUUUUUGCUGAAGUGUCUUAAUGGUAUUGGUUAAAUAAUACUAGUUUAAUAAAUAAACAUAGGAGUUUGCAGGUU
Molecule: long non-coding RNA, 1347 nt
Organism: Tyto alba (common barn owl)
Lineage: Eukaryota; Metazoa; Chordata; Aves; Strigiformes; Tytonidae
Exons: 2
Source: RefSeq, a predicted model, not a curated record